GAUGAACGCUGGCGGCGUGCCUAAUACAUGCAAGUCGAGCGAACAGACGAGGAGCUUGCUCCUCUGACGUUAGCGGCGGACGGGUGAGUAACACGUGGAUAACCUACCUAUAGGCCUGGGAUAACUUCGGGAAACCGGAGCUAAUACCGGAUAAUAUAUUAAACCGAAUGGUUCAUUAGUAAAGGACGUUUUUGUUUUCACUUAUAGAUGGAUCCGCGCCGCAUUAGCUAGUUGGUAAGUUAACGGCUUACCAAGGCGACGAUGCGUAGCCGACCUGAGAGGGUGAUCGGCCACACUGGAACUGAGACACGGUCCAGACUCCUACGGGAGGCAGCAGUAGGGAAUCUUCCGCAAUGGGCGAAAGCUUGACGGAGCAACGCCGCGUGAGUGAUGAAGGUCUUCGGAUCGUAAAACUCUGUUAUUAGGGAAGAACAAAUGUGUAAGUAACUAUGCACGUCUUGACGGUACCUAAUCAGAAAGCCACGGCUAACUACGUG
Molecule: ribosomal RNA, 497 nt
Filed under: uncultured bacterium
Lineage: Bacteria
Description: partial 16S ribosomal RNA
Rfam family: Bacterial small subunit ribosomal RNA
Source: RNAcentral